UCCGGCUUGACGCCGGCAGUCCCCCGAGAGUCCUCAGCUUUACCUAUUAGCAACUAAUGGCAAGGGUUGCGCUCGUUGCGGGACUUAACCCAACACCUCACGGCACGAGCUGACGACAGCCAUGCAGCACCUGUGCUGGCUACCCUUGCGGGUUCAUUGCCGUUUCCGGUUCUUACCACCAGCAUGUCAAACCUGGGUAAGGUUCUUCGCGUUGCGUCGAAUUAAACCACAUGCACCACCGCUUGUGCGGGCCCCCGUCAAUUCCUUUGAGUUUCAGUCUUGCGACCGUACUCCCCAGGCGGAGUGCUUAAUGUGUUGACUUCGGCACAGCAGGGGUCGAUACCCGCUACACCAAGCACUCAUCGUUUACGGCGUGGACUAC
Molecule: unclassified non-coding RNA, 382 nt
Filed under: uncultured bacterium
Lineage: Bacteria
Description: contains 16S-23S intergenic spacer region
Source: RNAcentral